UACGGAGGGGGCUAGCGUUGUUCGGAAUUACUGGGCGUAAAGGGCGCGUAGGCGGAAUGGCAAGUCGGUCGUGAAAUCCUUCGGCUCAACCGAAGAACGUCGAUCGAAACUGCCGUUCUUGAGGAUUGCAGAGGAGACUGGAAUUCCCGGUGUAGCGGUGAAAUGUGUAGAGAUCGGGAGGAACACCGGUGGCGAAGGCGAGUCUCUGGGCAACAACUGACGCUGAGGAGCGAAAGCGUGGGGAGCGAACGGG
RNAcentral lists this ribosomal RNA (253 nucleotides) under uncultured bacterium. Its description in RNAcentral is "partial 16S ribosomal RNA". It matches the Rfam family "Bacterial small subunit ribosomal RNA", at positions 524 to 776 of the family's 1533-position model. The record is from RNAcentral.